RNAcentral lists this ribosomal RNA (460 nucleotides) under uncultured bacterium. RNAcentral describes it as "partial 16S ribosomal RNA". It matches the Rfam family "Bacterial small subunit ribosomal RNA", at positions 338 to 795 of the family's 1533-position model. The record is from RNAcentral.
CCUACGGGAGGCAGCAGUGAGGAAUAUUGGUCAAUGGGCGCGAGCCUGAACCAGCAAAGUCGCGUGGGGGAUGACGGCCCUACGGGUUGUAAACCUCUUUUGCCGGGGAGCAAAUGGCGCCACGUGUGGCGUCACUGAGAGUACCCGGAGAACAAGCAUCGGCUAACUCCGGGCCAGCAGCCGCGGUAAUACGGGGGAUGCGAGCGUUAUCCGGAUUUAUUGGGUUUAAAGGGUGCGUAGGCGGAGCGUUAAGUCAGUGGUAAAAUUUAGGGGCUAAACCCCGUACCGCCGUUGAAACUGGUGUUCUUGAGUGGAAGAGAAGUAUGCGGAAUGCGUGGUGUAGCGGUGAAAUGCGUAGAUAUCACGCAGAACACUGAUUGCGAAGGCAGCAUGCCGGCUUCCGACUGACGCUGAAGCACGAAAGCGUGGGGAUCGAACAGGAUUAGAUACCCUAGUAGUC